Molecule: long non-coding RNA, 1607 nt
Organism: Vanessa atalanta (red admiral)
Lineage: Eukaryota; Metazoa; Arthropoda; Insecta; Lepidoptera; Nymphalidae
Exons: 2
Source: RefSeq, a predicted model, not a curated record
UUUGUGUCUAACUCGUUUUUUUUGAAUCUGGCUCAGGAGUGAGACCAUAUGUAAGCCAGAAAUAUAUUAAAAAAAAAUCUUUUGAGUAAUAUAGUCUGUACUAUACGAUAUGUCAAAAUGUAACACCAAAAGGCAAUUACUAUUAUUUUAAUUAAUUGCUAUAUGAUUGGAGGGAUCGUUGAAUAUAGAUUUUAGAUCUGGCUGCGCCGGACCAAUUUGUACUUUACUACACAUUAAUAGGUUAUAAAAUUGGUCGGUAUUUGAGUAGCAAAAAUAGGAACAAUGAAUGCAUAAAUAAUAAACACGGCGUUUCUCUAAUUUUAUUUUGCUCUAGCCUGGUUAUUUUUAUAUUUCAUAAACAGAAAAUAAACAAAUAUAACAUAAUAUUUUAACAAAUUGUAUCUCUGACGUCACAUAAACGAUACACCCAACCGCCCCCCCCCCCCCCACCGCGAUGCUACACAACCCAUACAUUAUAUGUAAUCAGUUUUGAGAAGCGCUGAUGUUCAUUAAAUAGUUUAUCAAUAUGUUUAUGCAUUCAUAUGAGGAAGCAAGUUUAAUGAAAAUGCCUUUAAAAUCGUUGUGUACGUUUUUAUGUAAAAUAUUUAGUGAGUAAGUGAAUCUCGGGGAGUAAAAAACAACUAUCUAAAUGAUUAUUGAUAAAUUAUAAAUUCGAUAAUAAGUCGAAUUAUUGUAAUUUAAACUCUAUGAUAGUUUUUGAAAAUAUCCUUGAUUUCGUUUUGAUCGAGUGAAUGAAUGAUAUUGCAAUUGUUUUGCAUUUAAAUAGACUUUUAGGGAAAUCUUUUAGACUAGUUUUAGAGUCACAUAUUAAUUGUAGAUAAGUAAUCGAUUCAAUGCUGUUUUUUAAGAGUUUGUCUUAGAUUAAUUUUAAAAUAUUUUCAUGGCCAAUAUAUCUAAUACUAAAUAUUUAAUUAGGACUCAGAUUUCAAUCGAAUACGAUUUGUUUUACGAGUAAUUCAUCUUUUUAUAAGAUUUUCUCCGUUCCGUUUCGGAUAUAGUUUCGUUCGAAUACAUUUCGAAGUUAUACUUGGCAAUGUAUAAGUAUUGUCAAUUAAUAAAGUUCAAAAAUGUCUUAAUCUUUUCAUAGAAUAAGGGAUGAAAUGAAAUGAAAUAAUAGAACACCAAAUAAUUGUAAUAAAAAGUAUAUAUAUACACACUGCCACCUAAACUGUAACGAUCGUUUGAAAAUGUAGAGUAGUUCUUGUUACAUAUAAUUUCGUAGCUUAGUGUAGGUAUGACUUAUUGUUUUAUCGACUUUGGAACAUUUUCAAUGAGACAAUGAACAUCAAAAUUCAAUGAUAUUUUGAAACUCUUCGUUUAAGGGAAGCCUAGCGAUGUAAAAGUUCGCAGGAUCGAUCCAUACCUUACUUUGGGCUAUUGUCGUCCCCAUUUCUAACACAAUUUUUAAGCUUAAUUGGAGAUUCCUUGUAAUGGGACAUUCCUAAUAUUAUUUAAUUAUUUUUUUUACUAAAUAAAUUACUGGCAUUGUGCUCACGCCUAUCGGGGCCUCAACAGACCACCAGACUGGAGGCCCUAGUCUCCUGCUUAUAACCUUGGCGAUAAGGGUUGAACUUUGUAUCGUCCAA